GAUGAACGCUGGCGGCGUGCCUAAUACAUGCAAGUCGAGCGAACAGACGAGGAGCUUGCUCCUUCGACGUUAGCGGCGGACGGGUGAGUAACACGUAGGUAACCUACCUAUAAGACUGGAAUAACUUCGGGAAACCGGAGCUAAUACCGGAUAAUAUUUCGAACCGCAUGGUUCGAUAGUGAAAGAUGGCUUUGCUAUCACUUAUAGAUGGACCUGCGCCGUAUUAGCUAGUUGGUAAGGUAACGGCUUACCAAGGCAACGAUACGUAGCCGACCUGAGAGGGUGAUCGGCCACACUGGAACUGAGACACGGUCCAGACUCCUACGGGAGGCAGCAGUAGGGAAUCUUCCGCAAUGGGCGAAAGCCUGACGGAGCAACGCCGCGUGAGUGAUGAAGGUCUUCGGAUCGUAAAACUCUGUUAUUAGGGAAGAACAAACGUGUAAGUAACUGUGCACGUCUUGACGGUACCUAAUCAGAAAGCCACGGCUAACUACGUG
Molecule: ribosomal RNA, 497 nt
Filed under: uncultured bacterium
Lineage: Bacteria
Description: partial 16S ribosomal RNA
Rfam family: Bacterial small subunit ribosomal RNA
Source: RNAcentral